UCUUUUGAGAUUAUUUCAAAGUAUAACCUGCCCAUUGAUAUUUUAAAAGGCUGCAGUAUUUUGACUGUACAAAGGUAGCAUAAUCAAUAGUUUUUUAAUUGAGAACUUGUAUGAAUGGUUGAACAAAAUAUAAACUGUUUCAAUUAAUUUAAUUUGAAUUUAAUUUUUUAGUUAAAAAGCUAAAAUAAUUUAAAAAGACGAGAAGACCCUAUAGAUUUUUAUUAUUUUAAAUAUUUUUUUUAGUAGGUAAAUUAAAAAAUUGUAUUGAUUAUAAUUUUAUUGGGGUGAUAAUAAAAUUUAGUAAACUUUUAUAAGUUAUAACAUGAUAAAUGAUUGUUUGAUCCAUUUUUAUGAUUAAAAGAUUAAAUUACCUUAGGGAUAACAGCGUAAUUUUUAUAUAAAGUUCAUAUUAAUAUAAAAUUUUGCGACCUCGAUGUUGAAUUAAGAAUAAUAUUUGGGGCAGUUUCUAAAUAAUUAAGUCUGUUCGCCUUUUAAAUUCUUACAUGAUCUGAUUCAAACCG
This 521-nucleotide ribosomal RNA is filed under the name Manota unifurcata. RNAcentral describes it as "partial 16S ribosomal RNA". The stretch from base 378 to 521 matches the Rfam family "Bacterial large subunit ribosomal RNA", at positions 2473 to 2618 of the family's 2925-position model. Lineage: Eukaryota; Metazoa; Arthropoda; Insecta; Diptera; Mycetophilidae. The record is from RNAcentral.